GAUUCCUACGGGAGGCAGCAGUAAGGAAUAUUGGUCAAUGGGCGCAAGCCUGAACCAGCCAUGCCGCGUGAAGGAUGACGGCCCUAUGGGUUGUAAACUUCUUUUGUACGGGAAAAAACCACCGGUCGUGUAUCGGUGCUGAUGGUACCGUAAGAAUAAGCAUCGGCUAACUCCGUGCCAGCAGCCGCGGUAAUACGGAGGAUGCAAGCGUUAUCCGGAUUCAUUGGGUUUAAAGGGUGCGCAGGCGGAGUGAUAAGUCAGUGGUGAAAGCCUACAGCUUAACUGUAGAACUGCCAUUGAUACUGUCAUUCUUGAGUAUUGUUGAGGUAGGCGGAAUGCGUCAUGUAGCGGUGAAAUGCUUAGAUAUGACACAGAACACCGAUCGCGAAGGCAGCUUACCAAGCAAUAACUGACGCUCAUGCACGAAAGCGUGGGGAUCAAACAGGAUUAGAUACCCUGGUAGUCCACGCCGUAAACGAUGAUCACUCGAUGUUGGCGAUACACAGUCAGCGUCUUAGGGAAACUAUUAAGUGAUCCACCUGGGGAGUACGGUCGCAAGAUUGAAACUCAAAGGAAUUGACGGGGGCCCGCACAAGCGGAGGAGCAUGUGGUUUAAUUCGAUGAUACGCGAGGAACCUUACCUGGGCUCGAACGUGGAAUGACAGUCGCGGAAACGUGAUCUUCUUCGGACAUUCUACGAGGUGCUGCAUGGUUGUCGUCAGCUCGUGCCGUGAGGUGUCGGGUUAAGUCCCAUAACGAGCGCAACCCCUAUCUUUAGUUGCCAUCAGGUAAUGCUGGGGACUCUAAAGAAACUGCCUACGCAAGUAGUGAGGAAGGCGGGGAUGACGUCAAAUCAGCACGGCCCUUACGUCCAGGGCUACACACGUGCUACAAUGGCCGGUACAGAGGGCAGCUACCUGGUGACAGAUGCAAAUCUCCAAAGCCGGUCUCAGUUCGGAUCGAAGUCUGAAACUCGACUUCGUGAAGUUGGAUUCGCUAGCAAUCGCGCAUCAGCCAUGGCGCGGUGAAUACGUUCCCGGGCCUUGUACACACCGCC
RNAcentral lists this ribosomal RNA (1057 nucleotides) under uncultured beta proteobacterium. RNAcentral describes it as "bacterial SSU rRNA". It matches the Rfam family "Bacterial small subunit ribosomal RNA", at positions 334 to 1394 of the family's 1533-position model. The record is from RNAcentral. Lineage: Bacteria; Pseudomonadati; Pseudomonadota; Betaproteobacteria.